This 692-nucleotide ribosomal RNA is filed under the name uncultured Bacteroidales bacterium. Its description in RNAcentral is "bacterial SSU rRNA". It matches the Rfam family "Bacterial small subunit ribosomal RNA", at positions 32 to 715 of the family's 1533-position model. The record is from RNAcentral. Lineage: Bacteria; Pseudomonadati; Bacteroidota; Bacteroidia; Bacteroidales.
AACGCUAGCUACAGGCUUAACACAUGCAAGUCGAGGGGCAGCGGGAUUGUAGCAAUACAAUUGCCGGCGACCGGCGCACGGGUGAGUAACACGUAUCCAACCUUCCGGUUACUCGGGGAUAGCCUUUCGAAAGAAAGAUUAAUACCCGAUAGUAUAAGAUUUCCGCAUGGUUCUCUUAUUAAAGAUUCAUCGGUAACCGAUGGGGAUGCGUUCCAUUAGAUAGUAGGCGGGGUAACGGCCCACCUAGUCGACGAUGGAUAGGGGUUCUGAGAGGAAGGUCCCCCACAUUGGAACUGAGACACGGUCCAAACUCCUACGGGAGGCAGCAGUGAGGAAUAUUGGUCAAUGGGCGAGAGCCUGAACCAGCCAAGUAGCGUGAAGGAUGACUGCCCUAUGGGUUGUAAACUUCUUUUAUACGGGAAUAACAAGCGGCACGUGUGCCGCUCUGCGUGUACCGUAUGAAUAAGCAUCGGCUAACUCCGUGCCAGCAGCCGCGGUAAUACGGAGGAUGCGAGCGUUAUCCGGAUUUAUUGGGUUUAAAGGGAGCGUAGACGGGUCCUUAAGUCAGUUGUGAAAGUUUGCGGCUCAACCGUAAAAUUGCAGUUGAUACUGGGGACCUUGAGUGCGGCAGAGGCAGGCGGAAUUCGUGGUGUAGCGGUGAAAUGCUUAGAUAUCACGAAGAACUCCGAUUG